Long non-coding RNA from Carya illinoinensis, 2292 nucleotides. RefSeq lists it as uncharacterized. The record is from RefSeq and is a predicted model, not a curated record. NCBI's taxonomy places the organism in Eukaryota, Viridiplantae, Streptophyta, Magnoliopsida, Fagales, Juglandaceae. The transcript has 2 exons.
AUCUCCCUGCCGAAAUUUUUUAAGAGAACUUAAAUUUCCCUCUCUUUACUUAAUAUACUUGAACCCAUCCUCAUUCCCUCGCAUAAGCGCUGCCCUCUUUUCCCUCAAUAUUCCACCCUAAUUAGUGGCUCUUCAUUUGGAAUUAUUUUUGCAUAUUGCUCCGAUCAAAUCUCCCACUCCAAGAGAGAGAAGCUACCGCAGCCAGCCUACAACCAUGUGUGGAACACUCGUUUCACUGCUUUUUCUGUCACCGCUCCAAUGAAGCCCCAUCAUUUCUAUCACUGUUUUAGAAGCUUGUAUUUUAAUUGCCUUUUCCACUACAGGAACGCAUCAAGCAAAACUUAGUUAUCUCUAACAAUAAAGUCUGCCCGUUGGAAACUCAAGCUUGCCUCUACAAAUGGAAGAUGUUGGCUGCCACGUAUCAUAGUUUCUUCUAGGAUCCAAAGCCCAACAAGUUGGUAGCAUCAGUAGAUCUACUGACCCUGCUAUAUAUGAAACUUGUUGGUACUGACCCUGCUAUGAAAUCUUUUUAGAGUGAAGCUGCAAAAGUGGAACAAAAGGGUGAAUUCCAAAGAAUGCAAAAAAAUAAAACAGAGAGAACAAAGAUAAGAAAGAACAUUUCAAAGAAUGUAGAGACAAAAGGGUUAGAAAUUUGUGUCACCUAAAGUCUCUUUAGGAAAUCCAUUUUUUAGCAUGCCUUAAGUGAAUCCAAGAGAGCAAGCAUCCUAAGUAAAAUUUAGUUACCUUAGUUUGUGAUCCAAUUCAGUCCACGUUUUUACAUUAAAAUAUUUCAAUAAUUAUGGUCAAGUUUUUCGAUAUAUGAAAUCUUUCUUUAGGGAUAUGAAGAAAACCACCCUAGUGUCCGUUUAUAAUCUUGCAGUGCUCUCUUUGGGAUAUUUUCGCCUUCAAAGUUGGAAAAAUUAACACCUGAUGUACGACCAAAUAAAUCAAUGAAGAGGUACAUAAUGGGCUAUCUAGGACUUCUCAUCAGAAUGUUAAACACAUACAAAGAGGGUGGGGGGGUGAAGAAAGAACACUAAAGCCAGAAAUAAUUGUUCAAUUGAGAAGAAACACCUAGAUGAUGGCAUCUGCUCAGGGAUGUUAGUUUUUGUUAUCCUUAAGUAUUGCAACUCACAUGAAGUCAACUUAUUUGCAUAAAUUCCUUGGUAAGUUAUUUUUAUUUUUCCACUAAUUUUAUGCUUAAUCCUUGAAACAAUUUACAUUUUGGAUAUGAUUAGAUGGAAAUCCAUACGGCCUUCUAGUGCACAUAUUAACAAGGCCCUACUGGGUUUUAUAAUGUCUGAGAUAGGAUUUACAUCAUCUAUGUUUCUUGAUAAUCUUUCUUGAUAAUCUCCCUUGGAGGUAUUACAAUUGAGAACUAAUAUGAUCUUUCUAGAUUUUUAAUCUCUAUGUUUUCUUAAAUAUAUAAAAAGUUGCUCUGAUUCUAUGUACUUAACCUGAUUUACAUUUUUUAGAUGUUGUUAUGCAAUGAAAAAUGUAUUGAAAGAUUGAAGUGCCCAAGGUAUGCUCUGUUGUUUGGGAUUUACAGUAGGAUAUAUACAAAUGCAGAUCAUUUUAAUCUUCCCCAUUGUUUGAAUCUGGACUUUUCUGCUUUCAGCUACUAGAUUAGAAGCUCUCAACCAGCUUAAAGAUUGCAUGAUAUUGAAUAUGACCCAAAGAAACAUUUUGCAAAGAAUCUUAAAAUAAUUAUUUUUGUAGUUGAUUAAUUUUACUUAGAGAUUUUGUCUGUUUAAACAUGAUUUCAUGAGUAUUGGUUUUGUUUUUGGUUAGUUAGACUAAUAAGAUUGAUUGGAAUUACCUGUAUGAAUCAAGUAAAUAGUACUUUUACAAAUGAGAUUCAAGCUUUCUUAGAUUUAUGAGGCAUGGUUCACUCACAUGAGAGGUUUGCACAAUGUGGUUUUUAAAUGCUACCUUGUGCUGUAUGACAUUUACAGGUUUUGAGUGUUAUAACCUUGACUACAUUCUAAGAAAAUGUACCAUCCAUUUAUACAUAUAACCUGCUAUGUUUUAUUCCUUUAACAUAUAUUACUCUCUCUAUUAAUUUAGUAUAACUUUUUUGAUCUUUUCCAGGCUCAAUGAUUGCAUAACAAUUUCAAAAACUAUUGGAUAAAUGUGAAGAAGAACUACCCAUGAAAGAAAUGGUUCUAAAGCUAAUGACAAACACAAUGUGAAGAACUUUCAUGUGCUUUGAUUUGUAAUUUUUUUUAUUAUAUGAAUAAUGACACAUUAUAUCAUAUUUAUUAUUAAUUGAUAUAUCAUAUAUUUUUUUAA